AGCUCCAAUAGCGUAUAUUAAAGUUGUUGCGGUUAAAAAGCUCGUAGUUGGAUUUCUGCCGAGGACGACCGGUCCGCCCUCUGGGCGUGCAUCUGGAUCGGCCUGGGCAUCCUCUUGGGGAACGUAGCUGCACUUGACUGUGUGGUGCGGUAUCCAGGACUUUUACUUUGAGGGAAUUAGAGUGUUUCAAGCAGGCAAUUGCCUUGAAUACAUUAGCGUGGAGUAAUAAGAUAGGACCUCGGUUCUAUUUUGUUGGUUUCUAGAGCUGAGGUAAUGAUUAAUAGGGAUAGUUGGGGGCAUUUGUAUUUAAUUGUCAGAGGUGAAGUUCUUGGAUUUGUUAAAGACGGACUACUGCGAAAGCAUUUGCCAAGGAUGUUUUCA
Molecule: ribosomal RNA, 381 nt
Filed under: marine Metazoa environmental sample
Lineage: Eukaryota; Metazoa
Description: SSU rRNA
Rfam family: Eukaryotic small subunit ribosomal RNA
Source: RNAcentral